RNAcentral lists this ribosomal RNA (253 nucleotides) under uncultured bacterium. RNAcentral's name for it is "partial 16S ribosomal RNA". It matches the Rfam family "Bacterial small subunit ribosomal RNA", at positions 524 to 776 of the family's 1533-position model. The record is from RNAcentral.
UACGUAGGGGGCAAGCGUUGUCCGGAAUCAUUGGGCGUAAAGAGCGUGUAGGCGGCCAUACAGGUCAGCUGUGAAAACUCGAGGCUCAACCUCGAGACGUCGGUUGAAACCGUUUGGCUAGAGUCCGGAAGAGGAGAGUGGAAUUCCCGGUGUAGCGGUGAAAUGCGCAGAUAUCGGGAAGAACACCCGUGGCGAAGGCGGCUCUCUGGGACGGUACUGACGCUGAGACGCGAAAGCGUGGGGAGCGAACAGG